RNAcentral lists this long non-coding RNA (1122 nucleotides) under Gossypium barbadense (sea-island cotton). Its description in RNAcentral is "long non-coding RNA (GBAR_LNC001928)". The record is from RNAcentral. Lineage: Eukaryota; Viridiplantae; Streptophyta; Magnoliopsida; Malvales; Malvaceae.
GAAAAGGAAAGGAUUUAUAUUGCAAAAAAACCCUCACCGCAAACACACGCGUGUCAUCGGGGCAGCAAACCGGAUCGGGUCGGGCGUGACUAGACGAUGUCGUUUUUGAGCCAUUGAAACGGGCUUGAAACGGCGUCGUAUUCGACCCUUUAAAAAGACCGAAAACUAAAUCAUUCGACCAAACAAACCCUAGCCUCCCCUUUUCUCCAACCGAACUAAGCCAAACCCCUUUGGCCAUGGCCCCAUCGCAACCUACAACCGACCGAUUUACUGCCCCGUGAUUCCUCCUCCACCUUCGACUUCAACGAGGCAAGGAAGAAUUAAUGGCGGAUUCACGAGGUAAGGCUUCAUUUUUCUCUUUUCUUUUAUUUUUAGAUGCAAAGAAUGAAAAAGAAAAUCAGAGGGAGCAGAUCAAGAGAGAAAAAACGUAAUAAACCCCAGAGAUUCAAAACAGGAAAUCACCUUGCUCUGUUUUUUUUUGCUUUCUAUUGCUUCUGUAUGCCUCCAGAAGACUUUACAAUCGCAAAACGAAAGGCUUUAUAGCCGAGUGUUCCAAAAAAGAAUAAAAAUAAAUUACAAUUUUUUCUUUUUCUCUUUGUUUUCGUGUUGCUGCUGUUGUUUUUUUGGUUUCUUCGCAGGUACGGGGUGCGUUGGAAUCUUACAGAGGCUGUGCUGGCGCUUGGCGUGAGGCGUACGAAGGCGUGCGUGGUGGUCGUACGACGCGAGGGCUGGGGCUCGUCUGCGGUUGCGGCGCAAAAGUGAGGAGGAAACCCUAAGGUUUCUUUUCUCAAAACAUUGGGCCUAUCGGGCUUGUAAUUUGGGUCGGUUUUUGAUAUUGGGCUGUAGGGUAUUAGUUAUGUAGUUGGGUUAUGUAAUUAGACAUCCAAGGACUAUUAAUUAUUUGGGUUUUUGUUUAUUUAUUUAGGGUUUCAGAGGGGCCAGGCAAAUUGGCCUGUUUACAUAUAUCUAAUUUAAUUAUUAAUUAAAAUUAACAUGAUUAUAAGUAAUGCCAACAUCUGUCCAUCCACUAUCAAUAAAAAUGGCUAAAUUAUCAUUUUAGCCCCUAAUCGAUUAAUGUAUUGUCAUUAGAAAAAAAAGAAAUUCAUAAUGGUCAACUUUUAC